Pteropus alecto (black flying fox) is the source of this 8036-nucleotide long non-coding RNA. RefSeq lists it as uncharacterized. The transcript has 5 exons. Lineage: Eukaryota; Metazoa; Chordata; Mammalia; Chiroptera; Pteropodidae. The record is from RefSeq and is a predicted model, not a curated record.
GACAAGGAGCACAAGUUAUGUAGUCAGAAAGACAGCUUGAAUCCUAGCUCUGGUGACAUAUGCAGGUCAUUCCAGUCCUCUGAGUCUCCAUUUUCUUCAUUUGUAAAACUGAGAUAACAAUACCUUAAUCAUAAAAUUGUUAAGAGCAUUAGACAUGCAUGUAAAGUGCCAAGUGCAGCACCUGGCAUAGAGUAGGUAAAGAGUAAGACUAAAUUUUUCUUCCCUCAGGAGAUAUUAUUUUACUACACAAUUGAGUUAAUCUAGUACACUAUGGAGAUCAUAGUCCAGAGAGGAAGACAGAUCAUUUUAAUAUUACACAAUUGCUUUCUCAUGUAAUGUACUUACAUGAGAAAUGUACUUAUGGUACUUAUCAAUGUACCUUGCACUAUUCAUGAUUUAACAUUUGUGACCCUCAUGAGCAGGUGAAGAAAAAGAAUUACUACAGUUCAUCAGUAAACAUCCUAAUACCCCUUUAUUUUAUAAACUUUUGUUCAUAUAUCUGAAGAAUCAAUUCCUAGAAUUGAAACUGCUGGGCAAGGAGUAUGCACAUUUUACAUUUGGAUAGCUACUAACAAAUUUUUCAUGUGUACACAGCCAUGUUGCACUGCCUCUGACAUACAAAAUCAAUGCAGGACGGUCAUGGGGAUACAGACAGAUCAUGGUCAAAAACAAAGUGCUUUCUCAUAGUUGAACACAACUCACAUCAACUCAGACUGCCUGGGUUGGAGUAAUAUGUUUUCAAGAAUAGAUUUAGUGGUCAAGAUUCUGUAAAGGGUGUUACAACACUGGGUAUGAAAUUAGAGAAGCUGACAUCUAAGGAAUCUCUGAAAUUCAGAAUUAGGAAAACCUCCCAAAUGAAGCUCAUUUGGCUCUGAGCCCUUCCAAACAUGAUGUGUUUUGCAGAUGAGCCCCAGAGAGCACCAAAAACUUUGCAGGACCAGCUUCUGGUUCCUCUCCUAAAGCACCCUGGCCCCGCCUUCUAGAGUUUUUGCUAAGUCUUACCUCUGGACUCUGCUUCUUUUCUACCUCAAAGACAGGUCCAGCCUCCAUAGAAGUCUGAUUAUUCUGAGACCAGCAGACUUUUAAGGAAGCCUAAGUGAGCCACUUGAAGAUGACACAUGAAGGAGGAUCUGAGUGCUUUGAUUGACAGCCCCACAUGAGAUCCCAGCCUUCAGUCACCGACUGCCAUCAUCUUGAACAUUCCAAAUCAUUUGAGUCUCUGGCAAGCCAUCUUGGACAUUCCAGACCAGUUGAGCUUUCAGGUGACUGCAGCCAUAGCUCACCUCAUGUAGAGAAAAACUACCCAGGAUACAUUUGUUAACAUUUUUCACCCACCUUAGGGGUAGCAGUGAUAUCACUGACCCUACAAAAAACAGAAGACACCGAUUAGCUGAAGACGCAUCAGCAUUGUUUGAAAGUUGGAUUUGGAAGUUCCCCAUACAUCCCCAUCAAGAACAGUGAUGUCAGCAGGGUCCAUAUGGUGUUUAAGGAUGCAGGGUGGUACCCAGAGCUUGAGGCAAGCUGGAGAGAUCCCUAAGGACAGAAUUUUAAGUCACAUCCUGAAAACAACAGGGCAUGUGGAAACUGCCUGUUCUCUGUUGAGUCUUCAGUCCUGGUAACUGAACUAAAAAAGAUGGUGCUGUUUGGUUCUCAACGCCAGACUCAACCAGAAGAAGGAAAUAACUAUUUCUGUUGGCAGGUCACUGUGAUUAAUACUGGGGAUCCAGGAGUGGAUGCAGAGACAGAGAGAAGAAGCUCACUCUCUUCUGGAGGAAAAGACAUUAAUUAUAAGACAAGGCAAAGAAUCGCUGCACUGAAGGUAUAAACCACAUGCUACGGAGAAGAGGAAAGUGGUAGAAAGUGUGUAGACUGCAGAGGAUCUUGAUUUGAGUCCUGCUUUUCACCCUUAUUGGAGGUGUGACUUUGGACAAGUUAUUUAAAGUCUCUAAGCCUGUCUUCUCAUCUGUAAAAUAGGGACACUAAAAGCACUGUAUUAUGCCAUCUUAUUGUGAGCAUAAAGUGAGACAAAAUGUGUAGAAUCUUGGAACAUAAUAGAGGCUGAAAAGAUAUUAAUCCUCAUUCCUUUGUUUUUGUCUAAGUAAAAUGGAAGGCUUUACAAAGAAGAGGGGCUUUGGAUAUGGGCUUUGAGAGUAAGUAGGAGUUCAAAAGGAAGAAAUGAGGGGAAAGGCAGGAUGAGCAGAAUAGACAUCCUCAACAAAGCCCAGAAGUGAUAAGCUACACGUGUGUUGGGAGCAUAUAUAGUCCUGGUGGCUUUGGCAAGAAGCUUACUUCUUUAAGCUCCAGUUUCGUUUGUAAAAUGAGAAUAAUAAUAACUAAUGAUAGUAACUUUUUCAUUGGGAUACCAUGGAAGUUGAAUGAGCUAAUGCACGUAAAGCACUUACUUAGGACAAUGCCUGGUACACAGUAAGUGCUUCAUAUUUAUUCAACUGAGCUAGUAGUGAAUACAGUACCGCUCCUAAAUUCAAAGCGUUUAGAGGCCCCACCAUUAGUUCGGGUGCCAUAGCUACUCUGAAUCUGAUCUUGCUUUUCACCCUUAUUGGAGGUGUGAAAAGUUUCAUAAACAAAUAGCCUUUGGUAAUCUGACCCAGCUUCGACCUUCCACCGGAAACACACACCCUGCACAUCUGAAUUGCAGCUAACAGUUAACUUUUCAGAGCUUGCCAAUGGUUAUCCAACUGGUUUUACAGCCAAGGAGUUCACAGAGGAAGAAGGCAAUAAAAGAAAUGACUUCCUGCUGGCAGGCAAGCUUAAUUAUCCAAAAGUGGGAGAAAAGGCAGAUAGAGGCAGGUGGCUUCCUGUAGGUGUGGCUUUGGUCCAGCACUGCCAGAGCUCUGAGCAGUUAGUGCAUUGGCCUUUUCAUUUCCACCAGACACAGGGGCCAGAAAGGAGGCAGCUAGAACCAGCUCUUAGUCACCGAUGCUGGGGCAUCUCUUCAAGUCUCCUGCAGAAAGUGAACAACGAGGCUGAUGGUUCCCAGGGCAGUAGACUUGGGGGAUUACUAGCAUCACACAGCUUACAGGACACUUAUGAAGCUCUACCCUCGGAAGGGGCUGGUGAGAUUGUUAAAGAAGAAUAAAAUAUUUAGGCCAGACAGAGAAGGUAACUCAAGUACCAAGAAGGAACCCCAUUGGCUACCUAGUAGCCUGGGGUACCUAAUGAUCUAUGUCCCAAGUCCUGGUCCCGCUUUAAGACUUUUUGUGAUUGCUGCACCCUCGUCUUAGAAUGCUCUUCCUCUAAAUCUUCCUUUUCAACAUCCAGUGUCUCAAUGUCCAUGAUCUCAACUUAAAUGUCACCUCUUUGGAAAAGCCUUUCUAGACCCGCCCUCAUCCACCAGCCAUUCUCUAUCUCAUACCUUGUAAUAAUUUAUUGUCUCCACCCACUUUCCCCAAUCUAAAAUUAACUUGUCUCUUUGCUUGAUUAUUUGUUUGUCUGGGCCAUCUUUUCCUGCUCAAAUGCAAGCAUAAGGAGGGCAGAAAGAAGCCUCAGCUCUCGUUCACUGCCGUAUCCUCAGCUCCUAUUACAGGCUCUGGCACACAGUAAAUGCCCAAUAAAUGUGAGACUGGUGAAGGAAUGAAUAUGGGCAGACUGGGGAACUUCAGAUUUGAGCUCAACUUCCGGAACUUAUUGGUAAAGGUCCAGAAAGAAUCCUCACCCCUGCAGAAAGUCCAAUGACCCUAAAAGUCAGAACCCUAUCUGUAAAAUAAAAUGACAUCCUCUUAUCUGGUCAUUUUCUGGGCUCUCUGUACAUCCAGGAAGGAUGAUGGGGACCUCUUUCAUUUCUAGCGUACCCCGUAUGUAACAGGCAGAAGAGGCCUGGCCUUUCAGAAUAAUGCUCUCUCGGGUUUCCUCUUGCUGACUGUCUUGGGCUGGUGAGCUUAAAUCUGAGUUUCGACUCCCUAUGCUCAGGAUCAGAGCACUGAGGUACGUAGAGGGGUGCAGGAGUUGCUGCCCAGAGUAUGAACCUUUCUUUUUCUGUUCUUAGAAGAGGACAGGGAGGCUGAUAAAAAGGAGAGGGGACUUCCCAUGCCAAGUUCAGUGUGAAAAGGCCACCCAACUCACAUUUACUCUCGGAAAUAGUUCUCCCAAUUCUGGACAAGUUAGCUUCAAGCAUUUACCAACCCAGCACAGAGUCGAUUUCACCAAGGACUUCUGUUCCAAAGAAAGGGGCCAGAGGAAGGAACAGGCAGGACACACGACUAUCAAAACUGUGAAAUGAAUCAAAUCGGAACCAUUUCUCCGAUGAUCCGAGGUCCCUGAGGAGCACUCUGUUCUCGUUUUAUCCCAAUUGGCUUCUGUCUCCUCCAAAAUUCUUAACUGUCUAAAGACUUGUUCUCAGCCUGAGUUUCUGUCUGCUCCUCUGUGGCUGGAAAAAUGGAAAAACACCAGGAUAUUUCAAAGAGAUCAGAAAGCAGCCAGAGCUGUUCAAGACUGCACGUACCAUCUGACCCAGCCAAUUACAGAGUUUUAGAAACCAACAGGGAGCCAGCAGAGGAACCCAGGCCAAAUCCACAGCAUCCUGUUUAAACCUCUACCAUCCAUCAUUGUUAUUUGCCGGUGACUAAGUGCCUGCUGUGUGCUGGCCUGAUAAAGGAGACUCUCCAUGAGAGGCCUAUUGGGGGUUCAGUGACAGAGUUGCAAGGUCACCCGAGUGGCACUCAUCCCGACUCGCUGUGCAUGGUAAGUGGAAUAAUGGCCCCUCGAAGAUGUCCAUGUCCCGGUCCCCGGAACCUCAAAUAUGAAAAAACGUGACUCGGAGGGCGGGAUCAAGAGAACAGAGGCAAAAGGGACUUUGCAGAUCUGAUUAAAGGAUUAAAGUUGAGGACUCUGGGGAGGGGGAGAUGAUCCUGGAUUAUUCAGGUGGGCCCAAUCUAAUCACAAGAGUGCAUCAGAGAGAUUCGACAUGAGAAGGGCAUGACUUGUUGUUGCUUGCUUGGAAGAUAGAAAAAGGGGGCUCUGAGCCAAGGAAUGCAAUGGCCUCUAGAAGCAGGGAAUGGCCUUCAGCUUACAGCCAACAAGAAAACCAUGACCUUGGUCCUACAACCACAGGAACUGAAUUCUGCCAACAGCUCAAAAAAGCAGGGAGAACUGAUUCUCCCUUAAAAACUCCAAAAGAAAUGCAGCCUAAUGAUGCCUUGAUUUUAUCCUAGGGAGACCCAUACCAGACUCCCAACCUAUGUAACUGUAAUAUAAUAAGUUUAAUAUUUAAGCCAUUAAAUUUGUGGUAAUUUGUGAUAGCCUUAGAAAAUGAAGACACUGUGUGAUCCUGAGUAACUCCUCCUUUCCUACUGGGCCUCAGUCUCCCGUCAGUCAGUUGGAGAGGAUGGACGAGGUGGUCUCUAAGGGUCCGGCCAGCUCUCAAAGACUGACUCUGCUCUCCUGAUGUCCCCUGGAACCCUGCCUCAGGUCCAGAACAUUCCUGGAUUGAAGACCAUUAAAAAUAUACAUAGGAGUGAAGGGAAGAGAAGAUUAAUCUUUAAAAAGCCCCAAGGUGUUUCCUAAGAUGCCACUAGGGUGCUCAGAAAGCAAGGUCUCCGUUUUGCCAUUUAGUACUUCAUUGACCAUACCCCAGAGGAUUGAAAUGAGAAGUCUGGGAGAGCAAGAUAAAAUUUCACAAUCAACUCAUAGAGGCUAUCUAGAGCACUGAGUUGAGGAGGAUUCCCUGGCCUUGUGGAGGCUAGGUGCCUGUUUAUUAACAUCUGCCUGGGGCAGGGGAUUAGGAGCAGUGACGUGUGCCAGACAUGCAUCCCCGUUAAUUGAAACCCAGUUUAGUUUUCUCUGUCUUUCCUUCUCCCCACUCCAUUUCCCCUAAUCCUACGCCAUGUGUCAUUCAAUUCGCAUGCCCACUCAGAGGUCCAAAUCCAUAAAAUAAUGAAGUUAUAUCUGUACACAACUAGGGAAAUUAAAGUACACGGUUUAGUACUGAAUCUGGUUUGCUGUUGUGUAAUGUGCCGGGUGGUUAUAACUCCGACCUGUUCCCCUUCCUGGCUACCUCACUCCUAGCCUUUACUUCUGAAUGUACACCAUCCCCACUUGGCAUUCAUCUUCUGUUUCUCCAGUGAGUUGGAAGGGUACUAGGGUCCCUAGUGAUUCACUAGUCCAAUGGCUGUCGAAUUCUCAUCUAACUUCCUCUAGGUCACCCUUCAAGUAAGUGACAGGGGCAAGAUCUGACCCCAGAUCCCUCCAACUCCGAUGAGAUUCAGAGCAUGGGCCCUGGAGCCAAACUGCCUGGGUUCAAAUUGCAGCUCUGCCACUUACUUCCUCUGUGACCAUGGCUGAGUUGCUUUUUCUCUCUGGACCUCACUUCCCUCAUCGACAAAAUGGACGUAAUGAUGGUCCGUACCUCAUAUGAUUGAGGUAAAGACUAAACAAAUUAAUACAUGUCAAGUAUGAUUAUUCUUAUGUUAUUCAGCUUACCUGGCCAAUCAGAGUGGGGUUCUGCAGAAUGUGGUAAUCCCAACAGCCACUCCUAUAAACUGUGAAUGUGCGUACAUGUGUCUGGUUUUGAUACCACAGCCAACUGCUCAGAUAAAGAUCUUCUUUGCUCAGAGAUAAUUCCUUUGUAUGUUUAACCCAUGGAGAAGAAACAGCGCGUUUUUUUAAAGAAGGAUCAGAAUAUGGUUGAGAAAACAUCUGAGACUGUUAUGGCCUCUUUACCCCUCAGUCUGUCACCCCUGGGCUAUUUGACCUGACCACGUCAGAACCCUGAGUCUCUAAUUUGUGUCAUGUCUCCAACACCUCACCACAGCUCAGUGAUUCUUAGGCUGUGCCAGAAGGGGGAUUCCCCACAGUCCUGACUCCCCAAGAGGUCAGAGUUUGGAAGAUUUGGUGGCGUAACUAGGAAUCUCCAUAGUAUGAUUCACAACCCCGCAACAGCUAGAAACAGGAGUUUUUUUUUUUGGUUGUUACUGCAGAUGUAUGUGAUGUCCCAAAGCUCAGCUGGGCUGUCUCGGAUGUGCUCAGAGGAUUGCCGAGUGGACUGCAGAACCCAGAGAAUGUUCAGCCACGGACACCCAUCUGCUUAAUCCCCGCUUCCUCAUUUCACGGAUAGGGAGGUAGGGUCUGAACAGUGGACAUGCCCCCAUCAAAGUAACUCAGAGUGUCUGCUGACUCCCAGGGAACCGCACCCCCCGCCCCCCACAUUCAGGCAUUCACAACCCCUCCUGACUGCUCACCCCCUGCAGCGGUAGCCCAGAUCAUAGCUAGUGUACAAGAAAUCUCUGAUACUGAAUGACUGAGCAGCUGUCACUACAGCCCAGAGCUUUGAGUACUCUACAGACACAGGAGAUUCGAAUGAGCCCCAGGGUCUGAGCAACAGGACCAGUGCUGUUAGGAAGAAACAAGUGGAGAUGCGGGAAUAAGAGCCCAGUCUGGCCACUCAAAUCAAAAUAAGAACCUCCGACAGUUAUACAGGUUUGAAUGGUUCAAAUCUCUCAUUCUUUCACUUAGUAAACAGGGGCUAGCGCCAGGCCCCGGCCAAGUGCUGAGGAUGGCUCAGAGACAGGGGAGAGAGACAGUCCCUACCCUCAAGGAAUUUGUAGAGGGGACCCGGGUGCAAGAGAACCAGCAACCGGAACAGCCAAGUCCUCAGUAAAGAGGCGGAAAGAGGAGAGAAGGGAGCCUGGAAGGACACCUGGCACACCCCUUUCUCAUCUGAUUUCUGUAGACAAAGGCUAUUUUCUCCAUGUCACAGAUGGAGAAACACGGCUAGGAGAUCGGAUGGAGAAAGCGCUAGUGCCAGACCAGGGCUGGGACCCACCUCCCCUGACUCCAAACUUCGGGCGCCUUCUAAGACGGGCUUCGAGAAGAGCAGGACUGACAGCCGGACAGAAGCCUGUCUCCUGUGGGGCCAGCUUCCCAGAGGCCCAAGAUCGCGUGUAGACGGCGCGAACGUGUAAGGGUUGAAAAAAAGAAGAAACGGGAAGUGCCAAAGUGAUGAAAGGGAGAAAUGAAGAAAAGAGUUGGGAGGGCACUGGAGUAGAUGGCGGCGCGAGGACCGGAGCCUCGCGCGCGACACC